This 216-nucleotide unclassified non-coding RNA is filed under the name Hevea brasiliensis (rubber tree). The record is from RNAcentral. Lineage: Eukaryota; Viridiplantae; Streptophyta; Magnoliopsida; Malpighiales; Euphorbiaceae.
GAACAAGGGUCCACGAAUUAAAUCAUCCAUUCAUCAAUCAGGAAAAUACUUGCUAUGCUAACUCUUUUGCACAGCACUGUCAAUCGUCAAGCUUUUACAAUGUAGGUAUAUUGGACUAUCGGAGCUCCAAUCAACCUCAACAUAUCGGAUUUGCAGGAGUCUGAAUUGUUUUUAAGAUUUAAGAGAAAGCACCAAGUCCCAGUCGUAAUAAGAAAC